Molecule: unclassified non-coding RNA, 376 nt
Filed under: uncultured Actinomycetes bacterium
Lineage: Bacteria; Bacillati; Actinomycetota; Actinomycetes
Description: uncultured actinobacterium contains 16S-23S intergenic spacer region
Source: RNAcentral
UCCGGUUUGGCACCGGCAGUCUCCCUAGAGUUCCCGGCAUCAUCCGCUGGCAACUAAGGACAGGGGUUGCGCUCGUUGCGCCACUUAAGGCAACACCUCACGGCACGAGCUGACGACAGCCAUGCACCACCUGUGCAGGCUACGUAGAGCGCCGGCUUUCACCGGCUUUACCCUGCAUGUCAAGCCCAGGUAAGGUUCUUCGCGUUGCAUCGAAUUAAGCCACAUGCUCCGCCGCUUGUGCGGGUCCCCGUCAAUUCCUUUGAGUUUUAGCCUUGCGGCCGUACUCCCCAGGCGGGGUGCUUAAUGCGUUAGCUUCGGCGCAGGAAACCGGAGAGGCCCCCCACACCUAGCGCCCAACGUUUACAGCGUGGACUAC